GGGUAACCUGCCCUAUGCUGGAUAAUAACCUCGGGAAACUGAGAAUAAUGAUCCAUAGUUCACUACGCCUGGAACGGUAAGUGGAUGAAAGCUCCGGCGGCAUAGGAUGGGCCUGCGGCGUAUCAGGUUGUAGGGGGUGUAACGUACCCUCUAGCCCUCUACGCGUACGGGUGUUGGGAGACAUAGCCCGGAGAUGGAUUCUGAGACACGAAUCCAGACCCUACGGGGUGCAGCAGGCGCGAAAACUUGGCAAUGCGAGAAAUCGUGACCAGGGAACUCCAAGUGCAUCGGGUAAGACCGGUGCUUUUCUUGACUCUAAAUAGGUCUUGGAAUAAGGGGUGGGUAAGGACGGUGCCAGCCGCCGCGGUAAUACCGGCGCCUCAAGUGGUAGUCGCUUUUAUUGGGCCUAAAACGUCCGUAGCCGGUCUGAUACAUUCGUGGGUAAAUCAACCAGCUCAACUGGUUGAAUUCUGCGAGGACGGUCAGACUUGGGACCGGGAGAGGUGUGGGGUACGCUCAGGGUAGGGGUAAAAUCCUGUCAUCCUGAGCGGACCACCUGUUGCGAAGGCGCCACACUAGAACGGAUCCGACGGUCAGGGACGAAGCCUAGGGGCACGAACCGGAUUAGAUACCCGGGUAGUCCUAGGUGUAAACGCUGUGGACUUGAUGUUGGGGGUGCUCCGAGCACUCUCAGUGUCGAAGCGAAGGUGAUAAGUCCACUGCCUGGGAAGUACGGUCGCAAGGCUGAAACUU
RNAcentral lists this ribosomal RNA (753 nucleotides) under uncultured Candidatus Poseidoniales archaeon. Its description in RNAcentral is "bacterial SSU rRNA". It matches the Rfam family "Archaeal small subunit ribosomal RNA", at positions 102 to 857 of the family's 1478-position model. The record is from RNAcentral. Lineage: Archaea; Methanobacteriati; Thermoplasmatota; Candidatus Poseidoniia; Candidatus Poseidoniales.